Long non-coding RNA from Aotus nancymaae (Ma's night monkey), 1582 nucleotides. The record is from Ensembl. Lineage: Eukaryota; Metazoa; Chordata; Mammalia; Primates; Aotidae.
CUGGGUUAUCUAUUCUGCUCCAUUUGUCUAUGUUUCUGUUUUGGCUACUAUGGCAUUGUGGCAUAUUUUAAAGUCUGGUAGUGUGACGCCUCCAGCUUGUUCCUACUGCUCAGGAUUGCUUUGGCUAUUUGGGAUCUUUUGGGGUGACAUACAAAUUUUAGAAUUUUUCUUUCUUUUCUUUGAAGAAUGUCAUUGUUAUUUCGAUAGGGACAGUCUGGAUUUUAAACUGUGGUAUCUGGAAGUCAAUAAUGUGAAUUUCUCGGAUUUUGUAUCCAGCCUCAUCUACAAACCAUGUCUUUUAAAUGGCAACAGGAAGUUCAGAGAACUGCUCUAAUCAUAAGCUCUCCAGAGUCCAUCUGCAAUGCCAUGUAUUCACUAGACCUGAUCCUGAUCCCAUGAAAAGUCAGCAUACUGCCUAGAAAGAAAGGGCUCAUCAGUUUGACGCAAACGUCUCAGAUUGGGCAGCUACAAUUAGAGUAAAUACAACCUGAAACUGUUGUAUCCUAGAGACCAAGGCCAGCUCCCUAUGACUUUCCCUUGGUGUUGCUACAACUGCCAAAUAGGGAUGAUUACAAAUCUUGCUCCUUCCCACAAAAAGGCUUUUAUGAACUAUAAUGAUUAAAUAUUCACAAAGCAUUUUUGAAUUUGUGGUUCAGAUAUUCCUGGAAUAUCUCAAUGAAUUCAGAGUUUUGGGUUUAACGAUCAAAGAAUGAGGUCUAAUAAAUGAUGUAUUUCAGUUUAAGGCUUAAAUUAUAUCUUUCAGCCUCCUUGAUUCCUGGAAUUAUUCUUUAUAUUCAGUUUUUCUGCUAACAACUAUUUGUGUGGUAGUUUCUUUUGAGAAACCAUGUUACUGGAUUCUUAAAUAUCUUGUAAAGUGUACUCUGUCUUCUAGUAAAGUUCUUCAGUGGUGACUGGAUUAGAUCUGUCUGAAUAUUUAACAUCAGCGGUACCCUUCAUCGGUAGUAGUGAAAUGCAAGGCAGGAGAAAAAAUCCCUCUCACGGACUGCACAGCUAAGCCUUUUGCCUGGUACCAACUGUACCAGUGAAAUCAAACUCAACAAAUGCUUGCUAAUCUCCAUCUUUGUAUAUCAACAAAUAUAUCUUAAAACUUAGAUAAUUUGUAUAUGGUUUCUUUUACCCAAAUAGCCAUCAGAGAACUACGGGCAUAUCUCAGAGAUAUUUAAAGUUCCUUUCCAGGCCACUGCAAUAAAGCAAAUAUUACAAUAAAGCAUCACACACAUUCUUUUGGUUAAUUCUAACCUCAGUAGAGCCUAUGCUUGCCUAUGUAUUUACUUCUCUCUGUGUUCCUUGUAGUGCUUAGUAGAAUGUUUUCAUAUAGGAAUUCCAAAUAUAUUUCAAUUAUAUCAUAGAAUGAAUGUUAAAGAAUUCAGUCUGUCAAUCAUAAAACAAUUCCAAAUUAUGCUAAUUCAUAGUAAUUAAUUCCUUCUAAGGAGCUGAAAAGUUAAAAUACUCUAAUGUUAUUAUUUUACUUACUUAUUUAGCAGAUUUUCUUGAAUAUUUAUUAUACAAGCCAGGCAGUGGGAAUACAGCAGAGUAUUAAAAAUAAAAAGCGGUUUUGUUU